UACGAAGGGGGCUAGCGUUGUUCGGAAUUACUGGGCGUAAAGCGUGCGCAGGCGGUUUGUUAAGUCUGCUGUGAAAUCCCCGAGCUCAACUUGGGAAUUGCAGUGGAUACUGGCAGGCUGGAGUAUGGUAGAGGAAGGUGGAAUUCCCGGUGUAGCAGUGAAAUGCGUAGAGAUCGGGAGGAACACCAGUGGCGAAGGCGGCCUUCUGGACCAAUACUGACGCUCAUGCACGAAAGCGUGGGGAGCAAACAGG
This 253-nucleotide ribosomal RNA is filed under the name uncultured bacterium. RNAcentral describes it as "partial 16S ribosomal RNA". It matches the Rfam family "Bacterial small subunit ribosomal RNA", at positions 524 to 776 of the family's 1533-position model. The record is from RNAcentral.